CCUAAGCCGAGGCCGAGAGGCGUAGGUGAUGGACAAUCGGGUGAAAUUCCGAUACCACCUAUUGACGUUUGAGAAAUGGGGUGACGCAGUAGGAUAAGAUGUGCGCACGAUUGGAUGUGCGUCUAAGCAUUUAGGCAUGCUUGAUAGGCAAAUCCGUCAAGCUAAGCUGAGAUGCUAGGGGGAGCGAAUUAUGGCGAAAUAUCUGAUUCCAUACUGCCAAGAAAAGCCUCUAUCGAGAGGAU
This 242-nucleotide ribosomal RNA is filed under the name Clostridium sporogenes. RNAcentral describes it as "partial 23S ribosomal RNA". It matches the Rfam family "Bacterial large subunit ribosomal RNA", at positions 1390 to 1635 of the family's 2925-position model. The record is from RNAcentral. Lineage: Bacteria; Bacillati; Bacillota; Clostridia; Eubacteriales; Clostridiaceae.